UACGUAGGGUGCGAGCGUUAAUCGGAAUUACUGGGCGUAAAGCGUGCGCAGGCGGUUUUGUAAGCCAGAUGUGAAAGCCCCGGGCUUAACCUGGGAAUGGCAUUUGGGACUGCAAGGCUUGAGUGCGGCAGAGGAGACUGGAAUUCCUGGUGUGGCAGUGAAAUGCGUAGAUAUCAGGAGGAAUACCGAUGGCGAAGGCAGGUCUCUGGGCUGACACUGACGCUCAUGCACGAAAGCGUGGGGAGCAAACAGG
Molecule: ribosomal RNA, 253 nt
Filed under: uncultured bacterium
Lineage: Bacteria
Description: partial 16S ribosomal RNA
Rfam family: Bacterial small subunit ribosomal RNA
Source: RNAcentral